RNAcentral lists this transfer RNA (87 nucleotides) under Candidatus Bathyarchaeota archaeon. RNAcentral describes it as "tRNA-Sec". It matches the Rfam family "Selenocysteine transfer RNA". The record is from RNAcentral. Lineage: Archaea; Thermoproteati; Candidatus Bathyarchaeota.
GCGCCCAACAGCCCAGGUGGUCCUGGCCUCGGGCUUCAAACCCGAGCGGUCCGUUGAGGACCGGGGGUUCGAUUCCCCUUGGGCGCC